Non-coding RNA from Oryza brachyantha (malo sina), 204 nucleotides. The record is from Rfam. NCBI's taxonomy places the organism in Eukaryota, Viridiplantae, Streptophyta, Magnoliopsida, Poales, Poaceae.
UAAAAUAGCAAACUUUCGGUUUCCGUGUCUAGCGUUUGACCAUCCGUCUUAUUUGAAAUUUUUCAAGAAAUUAAAAAAAUAGUCACACGUAAAGUAUUAUUCAUGAUUUAUGAUCUAAUAAAAACAAAAAUGUUAAUCGUAAAAGAAAUUUAAAUAAGACGAAGAGUCAAACAUUGUAAGUAAAAAAUGAAAGAUUGAUUUAUU